UGGGGAAUAUUGGACAAUGGGCGAAAGCCUGAUCCAGCCAUGCCGCGUGUGUGAAGAAGGUCUUCGGAUUGUAAAGCACUUUAAGUUGGGAGGAAGGGCAGUAAGCGAAUACCUUGCUGUUUUGACGUUACCGACAGAAUAAGCACCGGCUAACUCUGUGCCAGCAGCCGCGGUAAUACAGAGGGUGCAAGCGUUAAUCGGAAUUACUGGGUGUAAAGCGCGCGUAGGUGGUUCGUUAAGUUGAAUGUGAAAGCCCCGGGCUCAACCUGGGAACUGCAUCCAAAACUGGCGAGCUAGAGUAGGGCAGAGGGUGUUGGAAUUUCCUGUGUAGCGGUGAAAUGCGUAGAUAUAGGAAGGAACACCAGUGGCGAAGGCGACCACCUGGGCUCAUACUGACACUGAGGUGCGAAAGCGUGGGGAGCAAACAGG
Molecule: ribosomal RNA, 429 nt
Filed under: Pseudomonadota bacterium
Lineage: Bacteria; Pseudomonadati; Pseudomonadota
Description: Proteobacteria bacterium partial 16S ribosomal RNA
Rfam family: Bacterial small subunit ribosomal RNA
Source: RNAcentral